ACGGAGGGUGCAAGCGUUAUUCGGAAUUACUGGGAGUAAAGCGCGUGUAGGCGGUCCUGCAAGUCUGAUGUGAAAGCCCCGGGCAUAACCCGGGAAGUGCAUUGGAAACUGCAGGUCUUGAGUACUGGAGAGGAUGGGGGAAUUCCCGGUGUAGAGGUGAAUGUCGUAGAGAACGGGAGGAAUAGCAGUGGCGAAGAAGCCCAUCUGGACGGUAACUGACCCUGAGACGCGUAAGCGUGGGGAGCAAACAG
This 251-nucleotide ribosomal RNA is filed under the name uncultured prokaryote. Its description in RNAcentral is "partial 16S rRNA". It matches the Rfam family "Bacterial small subunit ribosomal RNA", at positions 525 to 775 of the family's 1533-position model. The record is from RNAcentral.